Molecule: ribosomal RNA, 557 nt
Filed under: uncultured bacterium
Lineage: Bacteria
Description: bacterial SSU rRNA
Rfam family: Bacterial small subunit ribosomal RNA
Source: RNAcentral
ACGGGUGAGUAACGCGUGGGAAUCUACCUUGUGGUACGGAACAACCAAGGGAAACUUUGGCUAAUACCGUAUGAGCCCUUCGGGGGAAAGAUUUAUCGCCAUAAGAUGAGCCCGCGUAGGAUUAGCUAGUUGGUGAGGUAAUGGCUCACCAAGGCGACGAUCCUUAGCUGGUCUGAGAGGAUGACCAGCCACACUGGGACUGAGACACGGCCCAGACUCCUACGGGAGGCAGCAGUGGGGAAUAUUGGACAAUGGGCGCAAGCCUGAUCUAGCCAUGCCGCGUGUGUGAUGAAGGCCUUAGGGUUGUAAAGCACUUUCGCCGAUGAAGAUAAUGACUGUAGUCGGAGAAGAAGCCCCGGCUAACUUCGUGCCAGCAGCCGCGGUAAUACGAAGGGGGCUAGCGUUGUUCGGAAUUACUGGGCGUAAAGCGUACGUAGGCGGAUUGUUAAGUGAGGGGUGAAAUCCCGAGGCUCAACCUCGGAACUGCCUUUCAUACUGGCAAUCUUGAGUCCGGGAGAGGUGAGUGGAACUCCUAGUGUAGAGGUGAAAUUCGUAGA